Molecule: ribosomal RNA, 301 nt
Filed under: uncultured bacterium
Lineage: Bacteria
Description: partial 16S ribosomal RNA
Rfam family: Bacterial small subunit ribosomal RNA
Source: RNAcentral
CAGUAGCCGCGGUAGUACGUGGGUGGCAAGCGUUGUCCGGAAUUAUUGGGCGUAAAGGGCCCGCAGGCGGUUUCUUAAGUCUGAUGUGAAAGCCCCCGGCUCAACCGGGGAGGGUCAUAGGAAACUGGGAAACUUGAGUGCAGAAGAGGAGAGUGGAAUUCCACGUGUAGCGGUGAAAUGCGUAGAGAUGUGGAGGAACACCAGUGGCGAAGGCGACUCUCUGGUCUGUAACUGACGCUGAGGAGCGAAAGCGUGGGGAGCGAACAGGAUUAGAUACCCCGGUAGUCCCUGUCUCUUAUAC